ACAUGCAAGUCGAACGAACUCUACGUGAAUGAUUGGUGCUUGCAUCAUGAUUUACAUUUGAGUGAGUGGCGAACUGGUGAGUAACACGUGGGAAACCUGCCCAGAAGCGGGGGAUAACACCUGGAAACAGAUGCUAAUACCGCAUAACAACUUGGACCGCAUGGUCCGAGUUUGAAAGAUGGCUUCGGCUAUCACUUUUGGAUGGUCCCGCGGCGUAUUAGCUAGAUGGUGGGGUAACGGCUCACCAUGGCAAUGAUACGUAGCCGACCUGAGAGGGUAAUCGGCCACAUUGGGACUGAGACACGGCCCAAACUCCUACGGGAGGCAGCAGUAGGGAAUCUUCCACAAUGGACGAAAGUCUGAUGGAGCAACGCCGCGUGAGUGAAGAAGGGUUUCGGCUCGUAAAACUCUGUUGUUAAAGAAGAACAUAUCUGAGAGUAACUGUUCAGGUAUUGACGGUAUUUAACCAGAAAGCCACGGCUAACUACGUGCCAGCAGCCGCGGUAAUACGUAGGUGGCAAGCGUUGUCCGGAUUUAUUGGGCGUAAAGCGAGCGCAGGCGGUUUUUUAAGUCUGAUGUGAAAGCCUUCGGCUCAACCGAAGAAGUGCAUCGGAAACUGGGAAACUUGAGUGCAGAAGAGGACAGUGGAACUCCAUGUGUAGCGGUGAAAUGCGUAGAUAUAUGGAAGAACACCAGUGGCGAAGGCGGCUGUCUGGUCUGUAACUGACGCUGAGG
RNAcentral lists this ribosomal RNA (735 nucleotides) under Lactiplantibacillus plantarum. RNAcentral's name for it is "bacterial SSU rRNA". It matches the Rfam family "Bacterial small subunit ribosomal RNA", at positions 53 to 751 of the family's 1533-position model. The record is from RNAcentral. Lineage: Bacteria; Bacillati; Bacillota; Bacilli; Lactobacillales; Lactobacillaceae.